Molecule: long non-coding RNA, 1374 nt
Organism: Triplophysa dalaica
Lineage: Eukaryota; Metazoa; Chordata; Actinopteri; Cypriniformes; Nemacheilidae
Exons: 3
Source: RefSeq, a predicted model, not a curated record
CCAAAUUGAAUUCCCUUCAAGUAAAGAAGACCUUGAUGAGUACAGAAAGGAGAUAGCACGCACAGUUCUUGAAGAGACAGAUGAUCUGUCAGAAAUGUGUCUCUACUGCGGCUUGCAAGAUGGGACAAAGCCGAAAAGAGUAAGACCAAUAAACAUGACUCCACCAUCAACUGGAUACAAUGCGAACAUUGCUGCAGGUGGUUCCAUCAGGAAUGUGUUGGGAAUGAGGAGGACUUCCUUUGCCCAGCAUGCACUUACUCUGACCUGGUACAAUUGGUUUUAAUUAAUUAAUGAUUUUAAAGAUUUAAAAUAGAUGAGAACAGACAUCCCCAGAGUGCAUUUAGGUGUCAUUGGAGUGAUUUUCAGUCAAAAAGAGAGCGGUCACAGAUUUCGGUAACCUCUUCUGAUGCAUUAGGAGAUUUGGUGACCGUGCAUUAUGUGAAUGGGUGUUAACCUCAGGUCCAAAUGAUUUUAAAGAUAUAAAAUAGAUGAGAACAGACAACACCAGAGUGAAUUUAGGUGUCAUUGGAGUGAUUUUCAGUCAAAAAGAGAGCGGUCACAGAUUUCGGUAACCUCUUCUGAUGCAUUUUCAUAUUUGGUGACCGUGCAUUAUGUGAAUGGGUGUUAACCUCAGGUCCAAAUGAUUUUAAAGAUAUAAAAUAGAUGAGAUCAGACAUCACCAGAGUGAAUUUAGGUGUCAUUGGAGUGAUUUUCAGUCAAAAAGAGAGCGGUCACAGAUUUCGGUAACCUCUUCUGAUGCAUUAGGAGAUUUGGUGACCGUGCAUUAUGUGAAUGGGUGUUAACCUCAGGUCCAAAUGAUUUUAAAGAUAUAAAAUAGAUGAGAACAGACAACACCAGAGUGAAUUUAGGUGUCAUUGGAGUGAUUUUCAGUCAAAAAGAGAGCGGUCACAGAUUUCGGUAACCUCUUCUGAUGCAUUUUCAUAUUUGGUGACCGUGCAUUAUGUGAAUGGGUGUUAACCUCAGGUCCAAAUGAUUUUAAAGAUAUAAAAUAGAUGAGAUCAGACAUCACCAGAGUGAAUUUAGGUGUCAUUGGAGUGAUUUUCAGUCAAAAAGAGAGCGGUCACAGAUUUCGGUAACCUCUUCUGAAGCAUUAGAGAUUUGGUGACCGUGCAUUAUGUGAAUGGGUGUAAUCCUCAGGUCCAAAUGAUUUUAAAGAUAUAAAAUAGAUGAGAACAGACAACACCAGAGUGAAUAUACAACGUCAUCAAAAGUUUUUAAAAACGUGUUAUUCUUUGUAAAAUAUGUAGGCUACCCUUGGACAGAAAUAGCCAGAGGAAAAAACGUAAAGAAAUUUUAAAACAAAACAACAACCGUCAUGAUAAUAAAGAAUGUAAUCGGGUCUUGUCUUUUAAA